Molecule: long non-coding RNA, 201 nt
Filed under: Hordeum vulgare
Lineage: Eukaryota; Viridiplantae; Streptophyta; Magnoliopsida; Poales; Poaceae
Description: long non-coding RNA (HVUL_LNC021414)
Source: RNAcentral
ACAACAACAACAACAACAACAACAAUAACAACAACAAAGACAACAAUAACAACAACAACAACAACAACAACAACAACAACAACAACAACAACCACAAGAACAACAACAACACCUACACCACGUGUCGUGGUUUUGUGAUGGCAGAUGUCCUCGUGAAAGGAGUUAGUGAUGGAGCCAUUGCACCUUGGUGGCGACUCAAAG